This 372-nucleotide ribosomal RNA is filed under the name uncultured bacterium. RNAcentral describes it as "bacterial SSU rRNA". It matches the Rfam family "Bacterial small subunit ribosomal RNA", at positions 525 to 896 of the family's 1533-position model. The record is from RNAcentral.
ACGUAGGACCCGAGCGUUGUCCGGAAUUACUGGGUGUAAAGGGUGCGCAGGCGGGCUUGUGCGUCAGAGGUUAAAGGCCCCGGCUCAACCGGGGAGAUGCCUUUGAUACGGCAAGUCUUGAGUACUAGAGAGGAUGGUGGAAUUCCUGGUGUAGCGGUGAAAUGCGUAGAUAUCAGGAGGAACACCCGUGGCGAAGGCGGCCAUCUGGCUAGUAACUGACGCUCAGGCACGAAAGCGUGGGUAGCGAACAGGAUUAGAUACCCUGGUAGUCCACGCCCUAAACGAUGUAUGCUUGGUGUUGGCUCCCUUGUGGGGUCAGUGCCGUAGGUAACCCGUUAAGCAUACCACCUGGGGAGUACGAUCGCAAGGUUG